UUGUACUAUAGCUAAUUCAUCUUCAAGUGGAAGAUUGAGUUUUUACACAUACAAAAAAGACUCAAUACUGAGGCAAAGGCAGAGUCUUGUUCGAUUCAGAAUUCGGGCUUCAACUGAUGAUUCUGAUUGCAAUGCUGAAGAAUGUGCCCCUGAGAAAGAGGUCUUUUUUCCUCUUUGCUUUUCUUGAAUUUGUGUAGUUCAAUUUUCUUGUUGGAUUUGUGUUUUGGGUUUAUAUUUAUGUUGAAAAAAAGGAAGUGGGUAUGUACAAUCUUGAUUAAAGGAACUGUCUUGGAUAAUAAUUAUGGCUACUUCUGAGUAGUAUUUCGGGAAAGAAACAAUUUUUUUCCUGCUGCAAUUAUAGACUACUUUAAUUAAAAAUGGAGUCAAAGAUUUUGAGCUGCACAAACAGCCUCUUGCAGAAAUAGAGGGUGUAUAGACCCUUAUGGUCCGACCCUUCCCGGACCAGUGCAUAGCGGGAACUUAGCGCACUGGGCUGCUCCUAGUCUUUGAGUUAAAAGCAUGUUAACUCAUGUUUCCGGAGUGAGUAAAGUUACCGCCUGUAGAGUGCAAAUACUAUGGUCUUUAGAGUGAGUUUGUGAAAGGAGCAAACUUGGGAGUGUGUGAUGCGAAAGCAUGUUCAAAAAUAUCGCAGAAUCACAAAUGACUUUAAGUUAACCUCUGAUUUUUCAUCGUCUUUAGUUUCAUAUGCACUUCUAUUCAGCCUCAUAUUUUCUCUAUGAUGGCAGCAUUGAAUACAAUUUUAGGCGUUUUUCAUAUUGACUGUGUGUCAUUGCUAAAAGUUUCAGAUUUCGCAAUGGACUUACUUAUCAUAUGUACCUAGACAUGGCUUAAAACUUGUCACAAGUUCUUAACUUCUGUUGCAAUUGGUAGUUGGUUCCAACAUUGCGACAAGGUUUUGUUGUAUUGGUCUGUUUGGGGUGUAUUCUAUCGUUGCAGAGCGCUUGACUUUCAGAUACUGCUCACUAUGAGAUAUCACCUUAUUUUGCCAGCAAUUUAUGUUUUCUCAACGCAUCAAAUGUAUAUUUCCUGAUUCGCAAACGAGCUUAAGCCCUUAGCUCAGGCACAAAUUGUCGCUAUGCGGUCAAAUUGUUAUUUCAGACAUUAAUAUCUAAAAGAAUUAGUAUCCAGCUUAGCUACUUCAAGGACACGUUAUAGCGCAGCUAUGAGGCUCAGGAAAAAAAUACUAAUAGAUUUGCUCAACAGGCUUCUCAUGACCUCACUGUCAAGCCAUUUUUUACUAGUGUAACUAUGCCUAUACACUUUAUGUGGUAAUUUUGAGUGAGUUUGUUCCUCAGCCCUUACUUCUUAGCUUUUUAAAACUCUAGUAGAUCAGUAUUGCACGUUAUACUGUUCAGUAAGAUAGUAGUUCACACUGGAAAAUAUUGUGAUACACUUUGUGUAUUGGAUAUAUACAGGUGGGGAAGGUGAGCAUGGAAUGGGUAGCUGGGGACAACACCAGAGUGGUUGGGACAUUUCCACCUCGUAAGCCGCGUGGCUGGACAGGGUAUGUUGAGAAGGAUACUGCUGG
This 1549-nucleotide long non-coding RNA is filed under the name Capsicum annuum. RNAcentral's name for it is "long non-coding RNA (CANN_LNC012986)". The record is from RNAcentral. Lineage: Eukaryota; Viridiplantae; Streptophyta; Magnoliopsida; Solanales; Solanaceae.